Molecule: long non-coding RNA, 412 nt
Filed under: Olea europaea subsp. europaea
Lineage: Eukaryota; Viridiplantae; Streptophyta; Magnoliopsida; Lamiales; Oleaceae
Source: RNAcentral
UGGAAAAGACCCUCUAGUAGUUAAUGAGUGGUUGCGUACUAUCAAGAAGAUUUUUCGGCACGUAAUGGAGACAUUAUUCUAUUUAUUUUGAUAUUGAAAAUCAGGUUUUUGAAAUUGACAAUGAUUAUUCUUUUCUGAGUGAACUAGAAAGUUCUUUUUAUAGUAAUCAGAAUUCUAGUUAUAUGAAUAAUGGAUCUACUAGUGAAGAUCCCUACUACAAUCGUUACAUGUAUGAUACUCAAUAUAGUUGGAAUAAUCACAUUAAUAUUUCUUUUUGUCUUGGUCCCAAUUCAAUACUAAACAAGUCCAAACUAAUUGAAUAUCAGUAUCAGAAAUUCCUCGAAUUGGUUUGCCAUUUCCAUAAAGGAUAUAAUUGACAACUCGAAGUUGCACAUUAUUCCUUUCCUGCAAC